UGUAAUGGCAGGUUGGAAUGUAUACUCUGAAUACAAAGAGCUUCAUUUAAAUUCUGACAUUCACUGAAGUCUUCAAAUUCAUUUUUGAUCUGCAGGUCUCCACAGUCUUGUAAUGGAAAUGUUAAGUCACGUCCUCACCCGGUGAUUGAGCACCUGGUAGGAAAGCAGGGCCAAGCCAGGGGAGCUCAGCUGCAUGCAAUGUGUCUGACUAGAAUGGGUAGAGCCAGGAUCCACCCCUCCCCAGACCUCAUUUAAGGGUUGGCAGCGGAGCUGAGAGCGUCUUAUCUAGUGACUGCUGUGUACACAAGGACCUUAUAGAUCUUCUGAAGUUCUCAGAGACGUUACAGGAGAUUCAGACUUUUUUCCAGCACUUCUGAGCUUUCCUAGGUGUAUUCCUAAGUGAAGAGAGCAACUUUAUUCCCUGUUCCUUUAUUGAUACACAGG
Molecule: long non-coding RNA, 444 nt
Organism: Tympanuchus pallidicinctus (lesser prairie-chicken)
Lineage: Eukaryota; Metazoa; Chordata; Aves; Galliformes; Phasianidae
Exons: 3
Source: RefSeq, a predicted model, not a curated record